GACGAACGCUGGCGGCGUGCUUAACACAUGCAAGUCGAGCGGUAAGGCCCUUUCGGGGGUACACGAGCGGCGAACGGGUGAGUAACACGUGGGUGACCUGCCCUCAGCUCUGGGAUAAGCCUGGGAAACCGGGUCUAAUACUGGAUAUGACUCCAUGACGCAUGUUGUGGGGUGGAAAGCCUUGUGCGGCUGAGGAUGGGCCCGCGGCCUAUCAGCUUGUCGGUGGGGUGANGGCCUACCAAGGCGACGACGGGUAGCCGGCCUGAGAGGGCGACCGGCCACACUGGGACUGAGACACGGCCCAGACUCCUACGGGAGGCAGCAGUGGGGAAUCUUGCGCAAUGGGCGAAAGCCUGACGCAGCGACGCCGCGUGAGGGAUGACGGCCUCGGUGUAAC
Molecule: ribosomal RNA, 397 nt
Filed under: uncultured bacterium
Lineage: Bacteria
Description: bacterial SSU rRNA
Rfam family: Bacterial small subunit ribosomal RNA
Source: RNAcentral